AAUCUACUAUUAAGAGCUUGGAUUUCAGGAUCGAACUCAAUACCUCCAGUGAAAUCUUUCAUGAAAUCCGGCAAUUGAAUAACGGGUUUGGGCUCAUCAUCAGCCCACCUUGACUUCCUCUUUCUUCCGGUCCCACUCCCAUCACCGCCGCCGGUCCCAUCAUUGGUUGAUUCAGUGGGAGGUGGGUCCCAACGGCUCCUCCGUCUCCUUCUACUGCUGGUUUCUUCCUCACCGCCUGAUUGGUCCCUGUCGGUGCCGCUGUGAGUGUUUGUCAACCCGUUUUCCGACAAUAAGGGCCUCUGAAUCUCGCGCUUCAGAGUGAA
Long non-coding RNA from Solanum stenotomum, 323 nucleotides. RefSeq lists it as uncharacterized. Lineage: Eukaryota; Viridiplantae; Streptophyta; Magnoliopsida; Solanales; Solanaceae. The record is from RefSeq and is a predicted model, not a curated record. The transcript is spliced from 2 exons.